UUUUUUUUUUUUUUUUAAAUCAUAUUUAUUAAAGUUUCCAGAAAUAUAAAAAUACAAAGAAAAAAGACAAAAGAAAGAAAAUAUUUAAAAAUCUUACUUUCAUUCCCUACUUUCUGGGACUCCCCCCUCCCCCCCCCAAUUGUAUUCCCCUUUCCUUAAUUUGGUUCUACAAGCUCUCACUCCCAAUUUAAAGCUUAAUUUGUUUAACCCACUAUCCAGAUUGAAUUGUACAAAUCUUACCGCCGUCCCACAUCAUUAACAGAAAAAGAAAAAGAUUUUCCCCAAGAUCCACCCCAGUUCCUUCCACAAAUUCCCUUUUUUUUAAACACGUCCGAUCAAAGUAAAAUAACAUGCGUAAGUUAUGUAAAGAAAUAGAAAAUAAGAGAUAUAGAAAAAUUCAAAAAAUGGUUACACAGCCUUUGGAUUUCAAAUCUCCGCCCCCCCCUUCCCGGUUUGAAUUCCCCAUGUCCAUCAGUCUAUACAUUAUCAGCUUGGAAGUCUCAUUUCAUGACCAGAUUUCUCCCCAGUUCCAUCUUGCCGGUUUUCUUUUAGUUUAUUAAUUUAAAUAAUAUUUGACUUCAAAUGUCCAAUCUAACAAAGGCCUUUAAUUUCCUUGAUCUUUACCACUCCUCCCGUUGUUCUUUCCGUGUCGUAAUCAGUCCUUUAUUCUUCUUAUUCCUCACUUUCUCAGGUUUCUUGUCCUGUUCAGCUGCUAAAACUUUCUAAUUCAGAAAUCUAGUGUCUCUGCAGAGGUUUGUUAUUCAGGAACAAAAACUUACGUCCAGUCCCUUUCUUUCUUCAAUAAAAAAUUCCAUUGUCUUCCUCUGUAGACAAAAUACUCUUUCAGUUUUGCAGCUUUCCCAGAAGAUAACAAAUCCUGUGCGAAUCCCAGGGUAUUUUUCCACUUACGACCGUUCUUGUAGUAUCCCGAAACCCCUCUAGGGGAUUGUAAUAACUUUGUAUCCUCUAAUCCAAAAGUCAAAUUGUUGCUUAUUUUCCAACAGUUUGUAUCCAUAUUAUAGCAAAUUGUAACAAAAUUAACCAGCAAGGUCCUCAUAACAAAGUCCUCUUUAUAUUCUCCAGCUUUGACAGCCACUUUGACAGCUGUCAAAGUCUCCGUCUCUCUUCACCAGGCUCCACGAAUCGCCCCGGUUCCCAGGGGGGGGGUUGCAUUUUUCUUCUCACCCUCCACUCUUCUCCUCCAGCACAUUUCUUAUAAUUUCCCAUCGUGAAAUUAAUGAUUUUUAUCAGAAACAUACUUCCCUUUGGACCUUGGUUACCCAGUCCUUGUUUUGGAAUGCUUACAAUAGGGGGGGGGAUUGACUUCCUUUUUAAAUCGCCCCCGCUCGUGCCAAAUCCAAAAUUUUGAACCCGGUUUCCCAAUUUACUCACGGGUUGUUGUUAAUAGUCCAAAUUUUCAAUAGAAGAAGUCAGCGCUCUCCGUCGAAUGGCAUGCGGCUGCGCUCGGCAGGGAAAGCAGUGGACUCAAAGCACCACGCCACUCCCGGCACCCGAUCCGAAGCCUUUAAAAGGCUCCUUCACGAGUCGGGAGGGCGCUAAUGGUGCAAGCCGAGUCACCCAUGUCCACGGACUCCGUGCCCGUGGUUUUAAGGGUCCCCGCGUCGCCGGCGCGGUAGGACCCAGCCCCUGCCGAGCAGACUCCCUCCGGAGCUCGGAGGGAGUCCGCCAUUCGGCGAUGGCGCUAACCCGGAAGUCCCAU
This 1720-nucleotide long non-coding RNA is filed under the name Podarcis lilfordi (Lilford's wall lizard). The record is from RNAcentral. Lineage: Eukaryota; Metazoa; Chordata; Lepidosauria; Squamata; Lacertidae.